GCUGGCGGCGUCUGCCAACCCCGGGGCGAGGGGCGCUUACGGGUGCUUUCGCUGGGACGCCGGCGCCUCCCAGCAGAAGAAAGCCUGUGAGUCAGUGUCAGCGUGCGUAAACGCUGAAUCCCGCGUUUCCAAAGUCCCCAGACAGGCAGAUGAGCCCCGAAGGGAAUGUGCCAAGAGUGACUGUAUCACGGGGUUUUGUCUCUGGGGUCUUCCUCUGCGUCCCUGAGAGGUCUGGCUUCCGCUCACCUUCCCAGCCUGGCACACGUUAGGAGCUCACCAAAUGAAUGAACGUUGUGAACCACCCAACUCACAAUGCCAUGUCACACUUCCUUUGUGUGCCUUCCACAAGCAGGAAAUCAUGCAUCGGGCCUCAGAUAUACAGCACCAAAGGGACUCCGCAGCCAACGACUCAGUCCAUCUGGGUGGUUCUGAUACAGCCCGAUGGUUGCCGUGAUUUGAGAGAGUUGAGAACCUUGAGAGGAAAAAGCCACUGCUCCCAAGCUCUUCCGCCAGGGUGACCGGACUCCGCCGAUCCUCACGCGCCCGGGACAGCCUCGUCUCCUUCCGCAGCUGGCCCGAGUCUUCUCUCCACACCAGCUGGGGUUGUUUCCUGUGGCUGCUGUCACAGGUGACCCCAAAGGGAGGGACUUGAAUCUUUCCUUUCCUCUUCCAGCUGCUGGUGGCCCCAGGUGUUCCUUGGCUCGUGGCCACAUCCCUUCGGUCUCUGCCUCUGUUCUCACCUGGCCUUCUCCUCUGUGUGUCUGUGUGUCUCCCGCUUCUCUAUUACCAAAUAAGGUCAUGUGCACAGGUUCCAGGGGUCACGACACGGGCACGUCUUUUAGGGGGCUACUCUUCGGUCCACAAUACCAACCACCAGCCAGAGGGAGCUUCCCGAAACUGGCCUUCACCCUGGGAGCGGUCGGUUGGAGAGCAGCGUCAUCCAAGUCCAGUCCCGUCACCUGUCCUUGGAACCUGAGAACGUCGCUCCGCUGUAACCCCUUCUUGCCCACCUCGCCCCCUCUCCUCCAACACCUCCCGGGCCUCCGAUCGCUCGCCGUCAGCGAGCCCCACCGCCUUCCUCUGGGUCCGCCUCCGGGUUUCCGCUGCCCUCUUCCCUACUGCCCUUCUCAGCUCCGCAACUCGGAAGCCGUGGGUGUCCGGAGGCGGGAAGUCCAAGACCAGUGCGCCGGGACAGUUGGCUUCUGGUGAGGACCCUGUUCCGGGUUGCAGAAAGCCAAGUUCUCACCGUGUUCUCACGUGGUAGGAGGGGCAAACCACCGUCUGGGGUUUCUUUUAUAAGAGUACUGAUUCCACUCAUGAGGCUCUGCCCUCGGGAGCUACUCAGCGGCCCCCCUCCGAAUACCAUCACCUCGGCCAUUCGGUUUCACCAUGCGGGUUUGGGAGGAGGGACACAUUCAGACCCUAGGCCCACCGAGGUCAUGUGCCACUUCCAAGCUGUCUCCUCCCAGCGACACCUGUGGCAGGUGACCUCCCUGUAAUGCAGGGUCUGGCUCCUUACUUUAAAAUGUGACAGCCGACAGCUUCGAAGCCUCAUCCUCCCUGUCCCUUGUGCCCCACACAUGGGCAAGCUGAUGUCAAAGCCUCCGGGCUCCCUUCCUCGGCAUCAGCGGGGAGUUCGCACCACCCACAGGAACCCCCGCCCCUGCUCUAGCUCCAAACACGACAGAGACACCCCCGCACCCCCUGCCCGGUCUCCUUUCCAUGUCCUCUCAAGUCGUCUUCUGACCACCUUGGGGACCUGCCGUGCGAUCCCAGGAAGCCUCAAUGUGUGAGUAAGGAACCUUUUCAGAACCUCUUGGGGGUGUGG
This 1828-nucleotide long non-coding RNA is filed under the name Lynx canadensis (Canada lynx). RNAcentral's name for it is "lncRNA (ENSLCNG00005020341.1)". Lineage: Eukaryota; Metazoa; Chordata; Mammalia; Carnivora; Felidae. The record is from RNAcentral.